AGUAACACGUAAGCAACCUGCCUAUUAGAGGGGAACAACAGUUAGAAAUGACUGCUAAUACCGCAUAUACCUAAGUAUCGCAUGAUACAAUAGGGAAAGGAGCAAUCCGCUGAUAGAUGGGCUUGCGUCUGAUUAGCUAGUUGGUGGGGUAAAGGCCUACCAAGGCGACGAUCAGUAGCCGGACUGAGAGGUUGAACGGCCACAUUGGGACUGAGAUACGGCCCAGACUCCUACGGAAGGCAGCAG
Molecule: ribosomal RNA, 246 nt
Filed under: uncultured bacterium
Lineage: Bacteria
Description: partial 16S ribosomal RNA
Rfam family: Bacterial small subunit ribosomal RNA
Source: RNAcentral